Molecule: ribosomal RNA, 468 nt
Filed under: uncultured bacterium
Lineage: Bacteria
Description: partial 16S ribosomal RNA
Rfam family: Bacterial small subunit ribosomal RNA
Source: RNAcentral
GACGAACGCUGGCGGCAUGCUUAACACAUGCAAGUCGAACGGAAAGGCCCUGCUUUGUGGGGGAGCUCUAGGUACGAACGGGUAACUAACACGUAGGUAACCUGCCCUUGACUGUGGGAUAACUUCAUACAAGUUGAGCUAAUAGCGCAUAGGAGCUCCUGCUUCAGGAUGGGGGUUGGAAAGUUUCGGGGGUUGGUGAUGUACUCGCGGCUCAUCAGCUUGUUGGUGAGGUAGUGGCUUACCAAGGCUUGGACGGGUAGCCGGCCUGAGAGGGUGACCGGCCACAUUGGGACGGAGAUACGGCCCAGACUCCUACGGGAGGCAGGAGUGGAGAGUAUAAUAUAAUGGGCGGGAGGCUGAUGUAGCCACGCAGCGUGGGGUAUGACAGGCUUGGGGUUGUAAAGCGCUUCCGCCUGUGACGAAGCGUGAGUGACGGUAAUGGGUAAAGAAGCACCGGCUAACUACGUG